This is a non-coding RNA of Paramuricea clavata, 668 nucleotides long. Lineage: Eukaryota; Metazoa; Cnidaria; Anthozoa; Malacalcyonacea; Plexauridae. The record is from the annotation of a GenBank genome assembly.
UGUAAUUUGUGUUUUUGGGACGCGAGUCCCAAAAACAAUCUUUUAAUCAGUAGUUUCACAAUUUUCGAAGGCUUAUUAUUCGAAGGGUAUUCAUGUAAACGUCUUCAAACUUUGUAUACUUACUAAUUUUGAGGUGGUCUUUUUAGUGAUUUGGUUCAUUUCUUAAUUUGGGCACUUUUUAACACUCGUCUCCAGUCCACUCAUCAACUUCGGAAUGGCUAAUAGGAAACAGCAAUUGGACCAAUUGCCUCCUACUUAUCUUUUUAUGGCGAGGGAGAAACAUUAGAAUAUAUUCCAAGGGCAAUAAUCCAAACAGAGCGAAUGAGCUAACGUUUAUGCCCAUUGGUGGCGUUCCCACCCAAUUCACAUUUUCACAUUGAUAACUCACAUCUAAUCUUCCAAUACACAGAACAACUAUGGGGUCUAUUUGUUAUUUUUAGGGACUCUGUGAAACGCUAUGUCAUGCAUUUUGGACACGUUUUAUGUCCUAUUUAAAACAUGAGCAGCAGUGUUCUAUCAGAGGAAGCCGAGUGUCUUUAGCUUUGAUAAAACACGCACUGCUAAUGUUUUAAUAUAUUAUAAAUAUAUAAAUAAUAAUUAAUAUGGUUUUGUGGUGUUGCAUUUUGUUGCAGUAGUGCUGUAAUAAUUGUUGUAUUUAAAUUAAAGCG